AUGGGUUUUGAAACGCGCAAGCCAUUGGAGGCGACUCGGGGCGACGCGGGCAGCGAUCCCGUCCCCCCCGGCGGUGCUGUCGCGGCGACGACAUGGGUGCUGGUGCGGUGGGGUCCCUGUGGCGCCCCGGCGUCCCCUGCCCCGGCGCGCUCCCCUGGGGCGGGUCAUGCAGGCUGCGGUGGCCGGUUCUGGGCUCUGGCGGAGGAUACGUCCGACGAGGAGGAUGAGCUUUCCUCACCACGACUGGCUCCUCCCCCGUCGGGGGCGACGUUGGGUGAUUUUGUGCUGGCGGUGACUCAUGGCGGGGCUGGUCGGGGUGACCGGCGCUGCCGUUUUGCGCCGGGUGGUGGCGGUUCGCGGGCGACGGUGGUGCGCUGCUGGUGGCUAGAGGCGCAAGCGGACGUGGACGCGCGGGGGUCUCGUCUGGCGGCUCUGCUAUCUCCCUGGUGUUCUGGGCCCGCGGUGGCCCCGGUGACGCCCGAGGAGUGGCCUGCCCUCCCCGCCCUCCCCUCAACGGCAUCGGUGGCGGCGGCGGCGGAGCGGGUGGCGGAGGUGGCUGACGUGCUAGGGUUGGCGCCGACCGCCCCUUCCUUGGGCCUGCUGGGGGCCUCUGGGCCUGGGCUGGCCCAGCUCUGUCCUCUGGUCGACGGGCCGCCUGUUGUGGGGCCCUCGACGUUUGCGGGGGGACAUUCGGUUCUUGGUGCUGGACCUGGCCCUGCCAGCCCACGCGGUCGGCCUGCCCUGGGAGGGGCCCGGCGGCCCGCCUGCCAGCGCUAUAUAUGGCUACGUCGGGGCCUCCGCGACCCCUCGCUAGGGUUUCCGGCUCGUUCUAGUGAGGUGCGGCGCCACCGUCUCCCCAUCAGAUCUCUCGUUCCCCUCUCCCCUCCUCCCCUACUCACUCUGUCCUUUGCCGAGGCGACGGCCAUGGGCGACCAGCGCGCAGACAAGCCCCCGAUGGAGCCUCCGCUCUCCGAGGAGGAAUGGCGGCGCGAGAAGGCCCUACGGGCGCAGGCGAAGCGUGGUCAACGGGCCAAGGCGGCUGGGCAUGCGGACGGCGACGGUGGCUUUGAGCAUGGUCAAGACGGCGGUGUUGGUCGUGGUUACGGUGGCUACCAGGGACAUGACUCAGGAUCUGGUUACCACGGGCGCGAGGGGGAUUGGGGUCCUCCUCCACCCUGGUGGGGUCAGCAAGAGAAGAAGCAGAAGCGCAAGCAUGGCGUGCGGCGCCGCGAGCUGGAGCGCAAGCAAGAGCACCCCCUUUGCGGUGGAGGUCAUGGGGACCUGCUGGCAAAAAAGCCACGGGCUUCGGCUGCACCGCUUGCGGUGGUCGCGCCCGAGGGACACGCCUCGGCUUAUUGCCCUUCUCGGGGCAAGCAGCCGCACCUCCAGAUCAUGGGCAGCGCCAUUCCAGGCGAAGGAUUUUUCUGCAUGGAGUUCGAAGAAGAAGAGAUGGCGGAGGGUGACGACCUUAUAACCGCCAAUGGUGCCAUUCUGUUAGCGGAGCCGGGGAGGCUUUCGCUGUGUACGCUCAAGCAGGAGCUGAAGCACAUGGUGGCUGGAGACUGGGACUGGCAGAUAGCACAAGUUGGCGACAAUGACUUUGCGGUGGUCUUCCCCUCUGCAGAUCUAUUGGAUAUGGCCAAGACAAGUGGCAAGCUUUUCCUCUCCAUCAACGACAUUACGGUGCUGGUUCGUGACUCGAUUCAGGAGACGAUAGUGCCCCUCUCCAUGCCGGAGGUGUGGCUCCGUCUUCAUGGCAUACCCAAGAAAUAUCGUCGUGUCGAGCGCCUGAUGGAGGGGCUCAAGAUGCUGGGCAGACCUAUCGUGGUGGACGAGCUUUCCCUCAUCCGGGUGGGACCGGUGAGGAUGAAGUUUGGGUGCAGAGCCCCUGACAAGAUGAAUGGUUUUGUGCAAGUUUGGUUUAAUCAAGAGGGUUACGACAUUCGGGUCGAGGUGGAGCGACUCCCAAAGCUCCCUGGCGACGGGCCGGCGGCGCCUGGCCCUAACAUCCCACCCUCCCACCCGGGCGACAAGAGUGCUGGACCGCCUGGUCCGGGGACCGGAGGGUCAGCUCGGCUACAGCAGCAAGAUCCAGGGACCCAGGGCAGGCAACACACUGCUCUGAUGUUGUCGGUCGCGUCGUUGCGGCUGCCGCCCCAGCCUCCCCCAGUUUGCUCGGCUCGGACUCGGGCGUGGUGCUCAAUGAGCCUUCCAUUCGCACCCCCGGUGUCGAGCCGUCACAGUUCGGGGGGUUCUGGGCGUGCCCCCAAGAAGACGGCCGGACGGAAGCCUCCUGUCAAGCAAGCUGCGCUGGCGCUCCCUUCGCCGGUGGCGCCGGCGUGCGUGGAUCUUCAGGCUGCGCUGGGCUCCGCAGGCACGGCAACCAAGGCAUGGCGCUCUCGGGCAUCUCCGGCCCCUCAGCGGGCCCCAAGUGCUCGGGCCAAGGAGGCGCUGGGUGAUCUGUCUUCCUUGGAGAGUGCUCAGCUUUGCCUGGCGGACAAGAACUUGGAGAUCUUAGGUACGAACCGUGGGGAGCUUGUGACCCUUAUCCGUGCUCGUGAGGAGGCCCAAGCAGCAUUAGCAGAGGCCCCUGCUGCGGCCAAGGCCAGGGAGGCCGAUUCCAUGGCGCUGGCGGUCUCCUUUAACCCAGAGGCUUCGGGGGCUAGAUACACGUGGACUAACAAACAACUCAACCCGGUUCGGAGCGUCCUGGACCGUGUUUUGGUUACGGCUGACUGGGAGAUGAUCUUUCCCAUGUGCACGCUGGUUGCUGAAACACGCAUUGGCUCUGACCAUGUCCCAUUGAUCUCGGCCUCUGGGGAGGAUAGGAUUAAGCGUAGCCCACGUUUCUACUUCGAAACAGGGUGGUUCGAGGUAGAGGGGUUCAUUCCUCUGCUCCUCGCGCGUUGGGAACAAGCUAGGGCUGCGGCUGGCCGCUCCAGAGGCUCUCUUGACAUUUGGGUGUCGGCGGCAGGGACCUUGCGUGGUUUCCUUCGAGGGUGGGGCGCAAAUCACGGUAGUGACGCUAAACGAGCUAGGGAAGCUCUUAUCGAGGAAAUCAAGUCCCUUGACACCCAAGCCGACUCUAGAUCCUUUUCGGAAGCGGAGUGGGCUAACCGUUAUGCCCUCGAGAAUCAAGUGCUGGCCAUCCUCAGGGAAGAGGAGGAAUAUUGGCGCCGGAGGGGUGGCGUCAAGUGGAUUACCAAGGGGGGCUCUAAUACGGGCUAUUUUCAUGCAUUCGCCAACGGCUGCAAGAGGAAAUGUUCGAUCCUGAGAUUGCAAUCGGACCAGGGGGUUCUGGUCAGUCAAGCCGAAAUUUCGCGGCACAUCUACGAUUUCUUCCUUAACCUGUUGGGAACAGCGGACGAAAAGCCCCUUCAUCUCCGUGCAGACUUUUGGGAGGAAGAAUCACGUGUGUCGCAAGUCGAGAAUGAUGGCCUGGCCUUAUCCUUCUCCACGAGGGAGAUCGAUGAUGCGCUUGGCUCGAUGAAGAUCGAUACCGCACCAGAGCCGGACGGCUGGCCGGUGUCUUUCUUCCGGCGGUUUUGGCCGGCGCUCAAGGACAUUUUCUAUGAUAUUAUAAACGGGUUUGCGCUAGGCACAGUAGACAUCUCGCGCCUCAACUUCGGCGUCAUUAGCCUCAUCCCUAAAACUUGGACACCAUUGGGGAAACGGCGUGAUGCAGAUCGGAUGAUGGAGGCCAUGGAGCGGAUCCGCACGAUUCAGCUCGAAGCACGACACUAA
RNAcentral lists this ribosomal RNA (3744 nucleotides) under Triticum aestivum (bread wheat). RNAcentral's name for it is "partial small subunit ribosomal RNA". The record is from RNAcentral. Lineage: Eukaryota; Viridiplantae; Streptophyta; Magnoliopsida; Poales; Poaceae.